This 340-nucleotide unclassified non-coding RNA is filed under the name uncultured soil eukaryote. Its description in RNAcentral is "sequence contains 5.8S rRNA gene, ITS2, 28S rRNA gene". The record is from RNAcentral.
AACGCACAUUGCACCCGAUGGGUGGUCACACUUGUCGGGUCUGCCUGGCUGAGUAUCAGCACGGACCCAAAGAGAAAAACAUUUUCUUUUUGGUGCUCGUCUUUCUCGUUUUGAGAAGGGCGGAUGUGAGCUGUCCGGCUACCACCUCGUGUGAUGGUCGGUCGCUUGAAAAGCAAGUGUCGUUGUCAUCGCACACCACUUCAGCAAACCAUUGAUCAUCCUUUUGGAUGUUCUUUGCUGGCCAAUGUGGAGCGAUUGAUACAUACACUAUACGCGCAGUGUAAUCAUACACUAUACCACCCUUGAUCUCAGAUUAGGCAGGAUGACCCGCUGAACUUAA